AACGCACAUUGCGCCCGCCAGUAUUCUGGCGGGCAUGCCUGUCCGAGCGUCAUUUCAACCAUCAAGCCUAGUGCUUGUGUUGGGGCCCCGCGGCUGCCGCGGGCCCUGAAAACCAGUGGCGGGCUCGAAGUCGAACCGAGUGCAGUAAAUUUCUUCGCUUGGGAAGGUGACGAGUUCCGGCCGUAAAAAGCCCAACUUUAUCAAGGUUGACCUCGGAUCAGGUAGGACUACCCGCUGAACUUAA
RNAcentral lists this unclassified non-coding RNA (244 nucleotides) under uncultured Sordariales. RNAcentral's name for it is "sequence contains ITS2". The stretch from base 1 to 52 matches the Rfam family "5.8S ribosomal RNA", at positions 103 to 154 of the family's 154-position model. Lineage: Eukaryota; Fungi; Ascomycota; Sordariomycetes; Sordariales. The record is from RNAcentral.